CCGCGCGCGGCGCGGCGACGCGCCGCGCGAGCGACGCGGGGAGGGCGGCGUCAAGCACGCCGGACGCGUCGCGUGCGUCCGUAUCGGC
This 88-nucleotide transfer RNA is filed under the name Burkholderia oklahomensis. RNAcentral's name for it is "tRNA-Ala(agc)". Lineage: Bacteria; Pseudomonadati; Pseudomonadota; Betaproteobacteria; Burkholderiales; Burkholderiaceae. The record is from RNAcentral.